This 253-nucleotide ribosomal RNA is filed under the name uncultured bacterium. RNAcentral's name for it is "partial 16S ribosomal RNA". It matches the Rfam family "Bacterial small subunit ribosomal RNA", at positions 524 to 776 of the family's 1533-position model. The record is from RNAcentral.
UACGUAGGUGGCAAGCGUUGUCCGGAUUUACUGGGCGUAAAGAGCGCGCAGGCGGUCGUGCAAGUCGCGUGUGAAAGCCCCCGGCUCAACUGGGGAGGGUCACGCGAUACUGCUCGACUCGAAGGCAGGAGAGGGAAGUGGAAUUCCCGGUGUAGUGGUGAAAUGCGUAGAUAUCGGGAGGAACACCAAUGGCGAAGGCAGCUCGCUGGGACGGUGCUGACGCUGAGACGCGAAAGCGUGGGGAGCAAACAGG